This 468-nucleotide ribosomal RNA is filed under the name uncultured bacterium. RNAcentral's name for it is "partial 16S ribosomal RNA". It matches the Rfam family "Bacterial small subunit ribosomal RNA", at positions 28 to 507 of the family's 1533-position model. The record is from RNAcentral.
GACGAACGCUGGCGGCGCGUUCAACACAUGCAAGCCGAACCGAAAGGCCCUGCUUUUGUGGGUUGCUCGAGUGGCGAACUGGUGAGUAACACGUGAGUAACCUGCCCUUGACUUUGGGAUAACUUCAGGAAACUGGGGCUAAUACCGGAUAGGAGCUCCUGCUGCAUGGUGGGGGUUGGAAAGUUUCGGCGGUUGGGGAUGGACUCGCGGCUUAUCAGCUUGUUGGUGGGGUAGUGGCUUACCAAGGCUUUGACGGGUAGCCGGCCUGAGAGGGUGACCGGCCACAGUGGGACUGAGAUACGGCCCAGACUCCUACGGGAGGCAGCAGUGGGGAAUAUUGCACAAUGGGCGGAAGCCUGAUGCAGCAACGCCGCGUGCGGGAGGACGGCCUUCGGGUUGUAAACCGCUUUCGCCUGGGACGAAGCGUGAGUGACGGUAAUGGGUAAAGAAGCACCGGCUAACUACGUG